GGCAGCCAGAGUCUGGCCUCCUGUAGCUGUUCCAUCAGUGGAUGCAGACUUAACCAGUGCCCAAUGCAUACUGGUUAAUUUCAACUCCACUGGUCACAGGGAAGGGAGACUUUGGUAGGAG
This is a microRNA precursor of Vulpes vulpes (red fox), 121 nucleotides long. Lineage: Eukaryota; Metazoa; Chordata; Mammalia; Carnivora; Canidae. The record is from Ensembl.